Pelobates cultripes (western spadefoot toad) is the source of this 235-nucleotide non-coding RNA. The record is from the annotation of a GenBank genome assembly. NCBI's taxonomy places the organism in Eukaryota, Metazoa, Chordata, Amphibia, Anura, Pelobatidae.
CCUAAACACACACUCUCUACAAACACUACAUCACCUAUACAUUCACACACACACAUACACACACACACACACACACACACUCACGCACUAUAGCCUGUAUGCACACACUUGCUACAGCCCCUGGCCACAUAUGCAUUACAUUACACCACAAACACAACACGACUAAAACAGACCUUAUUACACAAUACCACACCACAAUCAGCUCACUCUACACACACGCAAUCCCACAAGCAGG